AGAACGAACGCUGGCGGCAGGCCUAACACAUGCAAGUCGAACGCUCUCGCAAGAGAGAGUGGCGCACGGGUGCGUAACGCGUGGGAAUGUACCUCUAGGUACGGAACAACCCAGGGAAACUUGGGCUAAUACCGUAUAAUAUCUUCGGAUCAAAGAUUUAUCGCCUAGAGAUCAGCCCGCGUAGGAUUAGCUAGUUGGUGAGGUAAUGGCUCACCAAGGCUACGAUCCUUAGCUGGUCUGAGAGGAUGAUCAGCCACACUGGAACUGAGACACGGUCCAGACUCCUACGGGAGGCAGCAGUGAGGAAUAUUGGACAAUGGGGGCAACCCUGAUCCAGCCAUGCCGCGUGAGUGAUGAAGCCUUCGGGUUGUAAACUCUUUUAGGUGUGACGAUGAUGACGGUAACACCAGAAAAGCUCCGGCUAACUUCGCGCCAGCAGCCGC
Molecule: ribosomal RNA, 443 nt
Filed under: uncultured bacterium
Lineage: Bacteria
Description: SSU rRNA
Rfam family: Bacterial small subunit ribosomal RNA
Source: RNAcentral